RNAcentral lists this unclassified non-coding RNA (291 nucleotides) under Hevea brasiliensis (rubber tree). Lineage: Eukaryota; Viridiplantae; Streptophyta; Magnoliopsida; Malpighiales; Euphorbiaceae. The record is from RNAcentral.
GUGAUUCCCACUGAUUCCGAAACAAUUAGGCAUCUAAAACAGGUUCAUGCGAGAACUUCCACCAUACAGAAUGUUCAGAGAGAUGUUGAAAAUAUAUAUGGGAAGUAUGCACCGUUUCAGUUCUUAGCUUAUUGGUCGGAGGUGUGGCACUUUUAUGAGGAACGGUUUGGUAAGCUUAGCGAGAUGCCCCACUCGGAAUAUAAACUUAUUACUGCCGCAAAUAUGAGACCGAAAAGAAAUGGCAAAUGCAAGAAGUUGAAGAUAGCCUCAACAGAAAAGCUUGGCGUGUAA